GUAGCUUCUCGACCUUUUGGCUAAGAUCAAGUGUAGUAUCUAUAAAUGUAGCUUAAUUUCCAAAUGUUUUAAAAUGGAAAACAGGCUGGAAAAAAAAAUUUUUUUUGAAGUAUAUUUGGUCACACAGACUCAAAUUCUAGAUGCUCACUGGCUGAUUUUAGCACAGGCGUGUUCUUUUAGCCCAACAUAC
This is a small nuclear RNA of Pantherophis guttatus, 190 nucleotides long. RefSeq annotates it as U2 spliceosomal RNA. Lineage: Eukaryota; Metazoa; Chordata; Lepidosauria; Squamata; Colubridae. The record is from RefSeq and is a predicted model, not a curated record.